RNAcentral lists this ribosomal RNA (174 nucleotides) under Pleurotus sp. PLHP-1. RNAcentral describes it as "partial small subunit ribosomal RNA". Lineage: Eukaryota; Fungi; Basidiomycota; Agaricomycetes; Agaricales; Pleurotaceae. The record is from RNAcentral.
UUAGUCGGUCUCGGAGCAAACGAAGUGAAGCAUGUUAUUUAAUACGAAAAUACGCGUAAAACCUUACCAGACCUUGCAUAUCUAGCUCUGUUUAAUUUUUUUAAAUUAGAGUGAGUAUAUUUUUAAUUUUUAUUGAAAAUAAUACGCAGAUACAGGUGUUGCAUGGCUGUCGUC